Molecule: ribosomal RNA, 251 nt
Filed under: uncultured bacterium
Lineage: Bacteria
Description: partial 16S ribosomal RNA
Rfam family: Bacterial small subunit ribosomal RNA
Source: RNAcentral
UGUGAAUUAGCGGCGAACGGGUGAGGAACACGUGAAGAAUCUGCCUUCAACUCUGGGAUAACUCCGGGAAACCGGGGCUAAUACCGGAUACGAGCUCUGAUCGCAUGAUCGGGGCUGGAAAGUUUUUCGGUUGAAGAUGACCUCGCGGCCUAUCAGCUUGUUGGUGAGGUAAUGGCUCACCAAGGCGACGACGGGUAGCUGGUCUGAGAGGAUGGUCAGCCACACUGGGACUGAGACACGGCCCAGACUCC